UUGGAGGGCAAGUCUGGUGCCAGCAGCCGCGGUAAUUCCAGCUCCAAUAGCGUAUAUUAAAGUUGUUGCAGUUAAAAAGCUCGUAGUUGAAUUUCAGGGUUUGUCUAUCGGUCGGGCUUCACUGUCCGCACUGAUUUGAUGGAUCCUUACCUUCUGAAUAGCCAUCAUGCCAUUAAUUUGGUGCGUUGGGGAAGCAGAGCUAUUACCUUGAAAAAAUUAGAGUGCUUAAAGCAGGCCAGUGCUUGAAUAGAUUAGCAUGGAAUAAUAAAAUAGGACGGCAUGGUUCUAUUUUGUUGGUUUCUAGGAUCACCGUAAUGAUUAAUAGGGAUAGUUGGGGGCAUUAGUAUUCAAUUGUCAGAGGUGAAAUUCUUGGAUUUAUUGAAGACUAACUACUGCGAAAGCAUUUGCCAAGGAUGUUCUCAUUAAUCAAGAACGAAAGUUAGGGGAUCGAAGACGAUCAGAUACCGUCGUAGUCUUAACCACAAACUAUGCCGACUAGGGAUCGGGCGAAGUUAAUUUUUAAAUGACUCGUUCGGCGCCUUACGGGAAAC
RNAcentral lists this ribosomal RNA (551 nucleotides) under uncultured Acaulospora. RNAcentral's name for it is "SSU rRNA". It matches the Rfam family "Eukaryotic small subunit ribosomal RNA", at positions 548 to 1098 of the family's 1831-position model. The record is from RNAcentral. Lineage: Eukaryota; Fungi; Glomeromycota; Glomeromycetes; Diversisporales; Acaulosporaceae.